Small nuclear RNA from Erinaceus europaeus (western European hedgehog), 145 nucleotides. Its record names the gene U4. It matches the Rfam family "U4 spliceosomal RNA". Rfam says of the family: U4 small nuclear RNA (U4 snRNA) is a component of the major U2-dependent spliceosome. The structure of U4 snRNA from yeast and human has been reported. NCBI's taxonomy places the organism in Eukaryota, Metazoa, Chordata, Mammalia, Eulipotyphla, Erinaceidae. The record is from Ensembl.
AGCUUUGCGCAGUGGCAGUAAGUAUCGUAGCCAAUGAGGUUUAUCCGAAGCGUGAUUAUUGCUAAUUGAAAACUUUACCCAGUACCCCGCCAUGACAACUUGAAAUAUAGUCAGCAUUGGCAAUUUUUGGCAGUCUCUAUGGAGA